GAUGAACGCUGGCGGCGUGCCUAAUACAUGCAAGUCGAGCGAACAGACGAGGAGCUUGCUCCUCUGACGUUAGCGGCGGACGGGUGAGUAACACGUGGAUAACCUACCUAUAAGACUGGGAUAACUUCGGGAAACCGGAGCUAAUACCGGAUAAUAUAUUGAACCGCAUGGUUCAAUAGUGAAAGACGGUUUUGCUGUCACUUAUAGAUGGAUCCGCGCCGCAUUAGCUAGUUGGUAAGGUAACGGCUUACCAAGGCAACGAUGCGUAGCCGACCUGAGAGGGUGAUCGGCCACACUGGAACUGAGACACGGUCCAGACUCCUACGGGAGGCAGCAGUAGGGAAUCUUCCGCAAUGGGCGAAAGCCUGACGGAGCAACGCCGCGUGAGUGAUGAAGGUCUUCGGAUCGUAAAACUCUGUUAUUAGGGAAGAACAAAUGUGUAAGUAACGAUGCACGUCUGGAAGGUACCUAAUCAGAAAGCCACGGCUAACUACGU
RNAcentral lists this ribosomal RNA (496 nucleotides) under uncultured bacterium. RNAcentral describes it as "partial 16S ribosomal RNA". It matches the Rfam family "Bacterial small subunit ribosomal RNA", at positions 28 to 506 of the family's 1533-position model. The record is from RNAcentral.